GCGGGUGUAGUUUAAUGGUAAAACUCCAGCCUUCCAAGUUCGGCUACGGGAGUUCGAUUCUCCUCACCCGCUCCA
This 75-nucleotide transfer RNA is filed under the name Erysipelothrix sp. Poltava. RNAcentral's name for it is "tRNA-Gly". It matches the Rfam family "tRNA". From Rfam's summary of the family: Transfer RNA (tRNA) molecules are approximately 80 nucleotides in length. Their secondary structure includes four short double-helical elements and three loops (D, anti-codon, and T loops). The record is from RNAcentral. Lineage: Bacteria; Bacillati; Bacillota; Erysipelotrichia; Erysipelotrichales; Erysipelotrichaceae.